This 2139-nucleotide unclassified non-coding RNA is filed under the name Zea mays. Its description in RNAcentral is "misc RNA Zm00001eb236000". Lineage: Eukaryota; Viridiplantae; Streptophyta; Magnoliopsida; Poales; Poaceae. The record is from RNAcentral.
CUGGGCCGAGCUCGAGGCCGCGCCGGGGCCAUCACGACACGAGCAAGGCACGCCGGCGGCACGCCGGGGCGGUCGGGCGAACACGGGCGACGGCGAGGGCGGCCGGGCCGGGCGCGGGGCUCGCCGGGGACGAGCACGGCGAGGGCGGCCGAGCCGGGCGCGGGCGCCAUGGCCGGGGAUGGGCGGGGCGGCUCGCCGGAGAGGCGGACGAGCACGAGGGCGGGCGGGUCGCCGGGGGGCGGCCGAGCCGGGGCACGGCGGGGCCGGCGAGGGGGCGGCCGAGGUCGGGGACGGGGGCGGCUCACCGGACGCGGUCGAGGCGAGGGCGGGGAAGGGGCGGGGCGGCUCGCCGGAAGGGGCCGAGCACGGGGCGGCCGAGCCGAGGCGCGGCGGGGCGGGGCUGAGCUCGCCGGGUGGAGGCUGAGCCGGGACCGAGCGGGGUCGGGGCAGAGUGGGGCGGCUCGCCGGAGGGGUGACCGAGCGGACAGGGCGGGGCGGCCUUGCCGCGGCGAGGGGCGGGCGCGGGCCCGAGGUGGCGCGCCGGGGAGCGGCGCCAGCGGGGGGGAAGGGGGAAGGGAGAGGAGGGGGGGCCUCACCGAGGUGGGGGUGGCCGGCGGCGGUGCUGGGGAAGGGGCGGCGGUGGAGGAUACGGGCGGGGGGGGGGGGGGUAGACGGGGCGUCUGGGGGGUAGACGAUCGUGUCGCGGACGCGACAGGGCGCUAUGCGUCACGUCGCGGGCACGAUGAGCUACGCCAAGGCGCUGCGCGGGCACGCCCACGCGCAAAGCCACGCUUAACGUGCCGCGAACGAGUCGCGCACGCGUCGGGGCCGCGCGCUGGCCGAGCUCGAGGCCGCGGCAGGGCCAUCACGACACGAGCAAGGCACGCCGGUGGUACGCCGGGGCGGGCGGGCGAACACGGGCGAUGGCGAGGGCGGCCGGGCCGGGCGCGGGGCUCGCCAGGGACGAGCGCGGCGGGGGCGGCCGAGCCGGGCGUGGGCGCCAUGGCCGGGGAUGGGCGGGGCGGCUCGCCGGAGAGGCGGCCGAGCACGGGGGCGGGCGGGUCGCCGGGGGGCGGCCUAGCCAGGGCACGGGGCGGGCGGGCUCGCCGGGGGGCGGCCGAGCUGGGGCACGGCGGGGCCGGCGAGGGGGCGGCCGAGGUCGAGGACGGGGGCGGCUCGCCGGACGCGGCCAAGGCGAGGGCGGGGAAGGGGCGGGGCGGCUCACCGGAAGGGGCCAAGCACGGGGCGGCCGAGCCGUGGCGCGGCGGGGCGGGGCCGAGCUCGCUGGGGGGCGGCCGAGCCGGGACCGGGCGGGGUCGGGGCGGAGCGGGGCGGCUCGCCGGAGGGGCGGCCGAGCUGGGGCGCCGAGCGGACGGGGCGGGGCGGCCUUGCCUCGGCGAGGGGCGGGCGCGGGCCCGGGGUGGCGCGCCGGGGAGCGGCGCCGACGGGGGGAAGGGGGAAGGGAGAGGAGGGGGCUCACCGAGGUGGGGGCGGCCGGCGGCGGCGGCGCUAGGGCGGCGACGGCGGUUAGGGUUAGGGAGAGGGAGAGAGGGAGGGAGGAUGACGGGCGGGGCCCGCGGGGAGGGAAAUUUUGGAAAAAAGGGGGGAGGGGGCGGCUGGGCCGCUUGGGCCCAAAGGAAGGGGGCGGGCGCGGUUGGGCCGGCCGGGACGGCCCACGGCGGGGGGAAGGGAAGGGGGGCGGCUGGGCCGACUGGUGCUCUGCAGCAGCCACCCAUGUCCACCAAUGGCUGCAGCAAGCACCCCUUUAAAACAGCAGCUCCACCUCCCUGCUCCUCCUCACACGCCAGCACAGGAACUCCUCCAGCCCUUUGGCUCGACGCCCGCAUGGAUGGAUGCCUGGUGCCUUUCCCGACAGCGCUCGGCGCCCUGCUCACCUGGAGCUUAGCCAUGGCCGACCUCCGUUUCUUCCCUGGUCGGCCCUCACGUCCACUCAGCUCCCAUGGCGCUUGGCGCCCUCUAUUCUUCCACUCCCAUGCCAUCCCCCUCCUAGCUCGGCUCUACCCUCCCUCUCCCCAUGGGACAGCCGUGCUCCUCCCUGCGUUAUGGCUGUGCAUACGUGCUGUAUUGGAGGUUGAAGAAGACCCCCUCAAGUCUAUGACAUGUGGGCCCAGUGGCUAG